This 1176-nucleotide long non-coding RNA is filed under the name Sorghum bicolor (sorghum). RNAcentral describes it as "long non-coding RNA (SBIC_LNC005825)". Lineage: Eukaryota; Viridiplantae; Streptophyta; Magnoliopsida; Poales; Poaceae. The record is from RNAcentral.
CAGGUAAUAUGACUUGCAAGACUUAAACUAUGCCAUGUUUAUAGUUUGGAUAUGAUCAGUUCCUUCCUGAUUGGUAUCUUGAGUUUUUUUAUUUUUGUUUUUGUUUUUUUUGGUGUGUGUGUGUGGGAAAGAUCCGGUUACCCGGCAUUAUAUUAAUAAGCAAGAUAUAGAGUUGCAAUCUUACAUGCGCAAGAGGUGCUACCUCAUAUAUCAGAAUUACUCAUAGAGUACCCCCCCCCCCCCCCCUGUGUUGAAACCCAAUCAGAGCACUCAUCCUUAGAGUAGAGCCUGUGAAAUGCGUGCUCAUCCUUAGAAGCCAUAACUUUUCAUAACUUUUAAUCCUUGUGAAAUGCGUGCUAAUUCUGAAGAGAAUAGGACCUUGAUUACCUGGCCAUAUGCUGUCAUUUUGAUGCAUAAUAUCGCAUCUGACUAGAAAGCUCAUGUGAACUUCUACAGAAACUGUACAGUGAAUCUUUUACUACUUCCUGUAGUCCAUAGGUCUCCAUUGAUUUGCUCUGAAAUAUUACUAUAUGAAUUUAGUGAUCUUGUCCGCAACACUAACCAUCCUUCUUCACUGGCCAGGCUGCUCGCAAUAAUGUUCUUCUUGCAGUACCUGCUUUUCUAUAUGCUAUCAACAACUAUUUGAAGUUCAUAAUGCAGGUAAAGCAUCUUUUUAAGCACACCAGUGGUCAGAACUUGGUGUACUCUGGUUUUACUGUUCUUUAACUGUCUGUAGUAAUAGUGGAUUCUAACAGUUGUACUAACCUAACUUGGAUCUCGUACAUCUUCUCUAACUACCAGUCCUAUGAUUUAUGCAGUUAUAUUUUAAUCCUGCUAGCGUGAAAAUGCUGAGUAAUCUCAAGGUAUGCUACUAUGGUUAACUAUUAUGUUAGCCUUUUCUUUAAAAAAAACGUUAGGAUUAUUAGUAUAUGUGCACUUGAAUGCUUGCAAAUAUGCAAAUGUUAGGACAUGGGCGUGCAACCUGCCAAAUGCCUGUAUGUACACGCAUAUGCACUUGGUGGCUUGGGCAUGCACUCUUUGUUUCGUCUGUUUUAAAAUUAUCUAUUAGCGACCACCUUGAUACAUGUUUAUCUUUUGAUGUUUGACUUCUGUUUGGAGUUUGGCUGCACAUGGCACUAAUCAUGUAUUCAUGCUAUACUGAAUUCUAACAUUUGC